UACGGGAGGCAGCAGUGGGGAAUAUUGCACAAUGGGCGCAAGCCUGAUGCAGCCAUGCCGCGUGUAUGAAAAAGGCCUUCGGGUUGUAAAGUACUUUCAGUCGUGAGGAAGGUGUUAAGGUUAAUAACCUUAGCAAUUGACGUUAGCGACAGAAGAAGCACCGGCUAACUCCGUGCCAGCAGCCGCGGUAAUACGGAGGGUGCGAGCGUUAAUCGGAAUUACUGGGCGUAAAGGGCACGCAGGCGGUUAAUUAAGUUGGAUGUGAAAUCCCCGGGCUUAACCUGGGAAUGGCAUUCAAGACUGGUUAGCUAGAGUCUUGUAGAGGGGGUAGAAUUCCAUGUGUAGCGGUGAAAUGCGUAGAGAUGUGGAGGAAUACCGGUGCGAAGGCGGCCCUGGACAAAGACUGACGCUCAUGUGCGAAAGCGUGGGGAGCAAACGAGGGAUUAGAUUACC
RNAcentral lists this ribosomal RNA (453 nucleotides) under uncultured bacterium. Its description in RNAcentral is "bacterial SSU rRNA". It matches the Rfam family "Bacterial small subunit ribosomal RNA", at positions 340 to 787 of the family's 1533-position model. The record is from RNAcentral.